RNAcentral lists this ribosomal RNA (215 nucleotides) under Glomeromycotina sp. RNAcentral's name for it is "partial small subunit ribosomal RNA". The stretch from base 39 to 215 matches the Rfam family "Eukaryotic small subunit ribosomal RNA", at positions 686 to 864 of the family's 1831-position model. The record is from RNAcentral. Lineage: Eukaryota; Fungi; Glomeromycota.
GGUCAGUAGGUUGGUCGUGCCACCGGUACGUACUGGUCUCACUGAUUCCUCCUUCCUGAAGAACCGUAAUGCCAUUAAUUUGGUGUUGCGGGGAAACAGGACUGUUACUUUGAAAAAAUUAGAGUGUUUAAAGCAAGCUAACGCUUGAAUACAUUAGCAUGGAAUGAUGAAAUAGGACGAUCGAUCCCAUUUUGUUGGGUUCUAGGAUUGACGUA